UAAAAAAAAACGUUUCCUACUAUCCUGUGCUAUUUAGCGAUUGCUGCACAGAAACCAGCUACCGGAGGAGCCUAGCAACAUGUGACGUGUUCCUUGCUCAGUUCAGAGUGGCCCCAUGAGGGUCCUGCUGCUCCAACAGGAUUUGUCAUGUCUCAGUGGUCUGUGGCUAUUGGCUGGGCCCCUAGGUGAUCCAGUGAUGCUCUAUGUGUCUCCCAUCCUUGGCGGGCCAUCCUGGACACAUUCCCAUGGCAGAGGCAUCAGAACCCUACAUCGCCCAGUGCUUCUUUGAGGCCCAGGUUGGGAACUCCAGCUUCAUUAAUUUCAUUGUGUUCUAUUGGCCAAAGCAAGACAACAUUACUUUUACUUUGUAUUAUUAAUGUUUUUUUAAAAUAAUGAGUUAGUGUGUGUGUGUAAUAUGUGUGCGUGUGUUUGUUUGUGUGCCGGUAUGUGUGGAGGCCAAAGGUUAACACCUCUUGUUUUCCUCUGUUGCCUUCUACCUCACUGCAUAGCUUUGACCGUCCUCAAACUUGCCAUGUAGACCAGGCUGGCCCAAACUCACAGAGAUCUAUCUCAGCCUCCCAAGUGCUCGGAUUAAAGCACUACCACUCCUGCCUUCUCCA
RNAcentral lists this long non-coding RNA (620 nucleotides) under Mus musculus (house mouse). Its description in RNAcentral is "long non-coding RNA chr2:169027992-169028612". Lineage: Eukaryota; Metazoa; Chordata; Mammalia; Rodentia; Muridae. The record is from RNAcentral.